GGCGGUUCUCCGGUGACACACCCCAGAAUCAGGCUUCCUCCUCUCUGGUUCCGGGUACAUCACCUGAGAACCGCA
This is a non-coding RNA of Myotis brandtii (Brandt's bat), 75 nucleotides long. The record is from Rfam. NCBI's taxonomy places the organism in Eukaryota, Metazoa, Chordata, Mammalia, Chiroptera, Vespertilionidae.